GAUGAACGCUGGCGGCGUGCCUAAUACAUGCAAGUCGAGCGAACAGACGAGGAGCUUGCUCCUCUGACGUUAGCGGCGGACGGGUGAGUAACACGUGGAUAACCUACCUAUAAGACUGGGAUAACUUCGGGAAACCGGAGCUAAUACCGGAUAAUAUAUUGAACCGCAUGGUUCAAUAGUGAAAGACGGUUUUGCUGUCACUUAUAGAUGGAUCCGCGCCGCAUUAGCUAGUUGGUAAGGUAACGGCUUACCAAGGCAACGAUGCGUAGCCGACCUGAGAGGGUGAUCGGCCACACUGGAACUGAGACACGGUCCAGAGUCCUAAGGGAGGCAGCAGUAGGGAAUCUUCCGCAAUGGGCGAAAGCCUGACGGAGCAACGCCGCGUGAGUGAUGAAGGUCUUCGGAUCGUAAAACUCUGUUAUGAGGGAAGAACAAAUGUGUAAGGAAAUAUGCACGUCUUGACGGUACCUAAUCAGAAAGCCACGGCUAACUACGUG
This 497-nucleotide ribosomal RNA is filed under the name uncultured bacterium. Its description in RNAcentral is "partial 16S ribosomal RNA". It matches the Rfam family "Bacterial small subunit ribosomal RNA", at positions 28 to 507 of the family's 1533-position model. The record is from RNAcentral.